RNAcentral lists this small RNA (1020 nucleotides) under Pan troglodytes (chimpanzee). Its description in RNAcentral is "processed transcript". The record is from RNAcentral. Lineage: Eukaryota; Metazoa; Chordata; Mammalia; Primates; Hominidae.
CCCGGAGCCAGGGACUCCAGCAGCCCCCACCCCGGAAUCUUUCACCAUCCACUUCCUGCCGCUCAAUUCUGCUCAGACUCUCCACCACAAGAGCUGCUACAACGGCCGAUUCCAGCUCCUCUAUGUGGCCUGUGGGACCCAGACUCCAGUUUUGCCGCCCCUCCUCCCUCAUUGUCUGGGAUCCCAGAGCCCCAUCCUCCCUCCGGAUUUGGAGCUGAAUCUCAGCCUGUCCUCUGUCCUCUCUGCAGUAUGGUCCAUCUUCUCAUCCCUGAGCUUGGGGCCUGUGUGGCACCCGGAGGGAACUUGAUUGUGGAAUUAGCCCGGUACCUGGUGGACGUGCGGCAGGAGCAGCUGCAGGGAUUCCACACCCGGGUCAGGGAGCUAGCUCAGGCAGCUGGAUUUGCUCCACAGACCGGGGCCAGGCCUUCAGAGACCUUCGCACGUUUCUGCAAGUCCCAGGAAUCAGCUCUAGGCAACACUGUCCCAGCUGUGGAACCCGGAACUCCGCCCCUUGACGUCCUGGCCCAGCCUCUUGAAGCCAGCAGCCCAGCCCUCGAGGGCCUGACCCAGCCUCUGCAGGGCGGGAACCCACACUGUGAGCCCUGCCAGCUGCCCUCUGAGUCUCCAGGUUCACUCUCAGAGGUUCUGGCUCAGCCUCAGGGGGCCUUGGCUCCGCCCAACUGUGAGUCAGACUCCAAAACUGGAGUCUGACCCAACCCCUAGACACCCCUUAUCUCCAACUUCCAAAGUCAGGUUGUAGGAUGAGAACCCGCUGAUACCAUUCUAAGUCCGCUGCUAGAGUCCUCAAUUUUAUUCUAAUCAUUCCCACUCAGUACCCGCCACCCCCACCCCGGGAGUGUUGGUAGACUUUCAAAUUCCAUUUCUGAGAUUCUAUGGUCUAUUCCUAGAAUUCUAGAUUGUUCUCUCAGAAUUCCAAAUUCCACUUCUGAGGCUCUAAGCCCAGCCUAGGAUCUGACACUGAGUCUCAGGCCCUUGACUUUGGCCCCCUUGUUCCCAGGC